RNAcentral lists this ribosomal RNA (450 nucleotides) under uncultured bacterium. Its description in RNAcentral is "bacterial SSU rRNA". It matches the Rfam family "Bacterial small subunit ribosomal RNA", at positions 354 to 796 of the family's 1533-position model. The record is from RNAcentral.
GUGGGGAAUUUUGGACAAUGGGCGAAAGCCUGAUCCAGCAAUGCCGCGUGCAGGAAGAAGGCCUUCGGGUUGUAAACUGCUUUUGUACGGAACGAAAAGGUCUGCCCUAAUACGGCGGGCCCAUGACGGUACCGUAAGAAUAAGCACCGGCUAACUACGUGCCAGCAGCCGCGGUAAUACGUAGGGUGCGAGCGUUAAUCGGAAUUACUGGGCGUAAAGCGUGCGCAGGCGGUGAUGUAAGACAGUUGUGAAAUCCCCGGGCUCAACCUGGGAAUUGCAUCUGUGACUGCAUCGCUAGAGUACGGUAGAGGGGGAUGGAAUUCCGCGUGUAGCAGUGAAAUGCGUAGAUAUGCGGAGGAACACCGAUGGCGAAGGCAAUCCCCUGGACCUGUACUGACGCUCAUGCACGAAAGCGUGGGGAGCAAACAGGAUUAGAUACCCUAGUAGUCC